Molecule: unclassified non-coding RNA, 335 nt
Filed under: Hevea brasiliensis (rubber tree)
Lineage: Eukaryota; Viridiplantae; Streptophyta; Magnoliopsida; Malpighiales; Euphorbiaceae
Source: RNAcentral
ACCACAAAGCUAAUUGACACAGUAAAGAGCCCCAGAAGUAGAAGAUUCACCGGAUACGACUGAUGAUAAUAAUACAUCGGAAUCAUCACGAUGAAGGGGAGGAAGAUGCAUAAGAUGUAAAUCCCGAGACCGGUGCCGGAGGAGACGAAGAAGUGUGAGAUCGGGUGAACGGUGACGACAACGGCGGAGACGGCGACAGAGAGGAGCAUCUGGAUGGCGAUGAUGGAGUAGAUCUUGCGGAUGAAGGCCCAGCGGAGCUCCGGCGGCUCCAGCAUCAUCGGAUACAGAAGCGGCGCGGCACCGGACUCGACGUCCGACCCCGGCUUCCCAUACGG